ACAGUUCACGCGCAGCUGAGAAGUGAGAUCACACCUUGGAAAGUUUCAAGAGGAGUGAGGAUGCCAUCUUUGUUCCUGUCGAAGAAUGACACAUGCAUCUGGAGUUCUGUCAUGUUGGAGUUGGAGCUACCACCGUCAGGUUCAGGUAGUGCCCUCACACUCACCGCGGCACCUAAAAUUAUACACAAAAGAAAGCAAGCAUCGAUAUCUGAAACUCACUGCAAGAGCCUAUUUAUCUGCCGAAUCUGCUAGCUAUUCAGCCGGUAUAGGCGUGCCAUCGCAAAAACAUCAACAAUUUGAAAGGAAUCUCAAUUGUCAAAUAGCACUAGAAGUUUUGAUACUUACAGCAAACGCUCCAUGUCAGCAGCGCAGAUGCAAUCGACAGCGAUCUCAGGGAAGCGUCCACCGGCCGCGGCUGGCGGCUCGCCAUUGUUUCCGAUCCGUCGGCGAGUUGAGCUUCUCCAGUUGUGUGUGGAUAUGUGUUGAGUGCAAUAGCAUUGGCACAUUGCUCUGCUUAAAUGGGUGCAGAGGUAUGGUAGAGUAGACGACACUAGACCAUCACUGGAAGCUGUACGUGUGGCCUGCUGCCGGCGCUUUACUGUGAGCCGAACUUGCCCCGUCCGAUUCAGGAAAGGCGCCGAAUGUGCAGCGAAAUCGGUGGAAA
Molecule: long non-coding RNA, 664 nt
Filed under: Sorghum bicolor (sorghum)
Lineage: Eukaryota; Viridiplantae; Streptophyta; Magnoliopsida; Poales; Poaceae
Description: long non-coding RNA (SBIC_LNC017035)
Source: RNAcentral